UCCGUAGGGUGCGAGCGUUGUCCGGAAUUAUUGGGCGUACAGAGCUUGUAGGCGGUUUGUCGCGUCUGCUGUGAAAAUCCGGGGCUCAACCCCGGACUUGCAGUGGGUACGGGCAGACUAGAGUGUGGUAGGGGAGACUGGAAUUCCUGGUGUAGCGGUGAAAUGCGCAGAUAUCGGGAGGAACACCAGUAGCGAAGGCGGCACUCUGGGCCGGUACUGACGCUGAGGAGCGAAAGCGUGGGGAGCGAACAGG
RNAcentral lists this ribosomal RNA (253 nucleotides) under uncultured bacterium. RNAcentral describes it as "partial 16S ribosomal RNA". It matches the Rfam family "Bacterial small subunit ribosomal RNA", at positions 524 to 776 of the family's 1533-position model. The record is from RNAcentral.